GCAAGUCGAGCGCUCACUUCGGUGGGAGCGGCGGACGGGUUAGUAACACGUGGGAACAUACCCUUUACUACGGAAUAGCCUUUGGAAACGAAGAGUAAUACCUUAUACGCCCUUUGGGGGAAAGAUUUAUCGGAGAAGGAUCGGCCCGCGUUAGAUUAGAUAGUUGGUGGGGUAACGGCCUACCAAGUCUACGAUCUAUAGCUGGUUUUAGAGGAUGAUC
RNAcentral lists this ribosomal RNA (220 nucleotides) under uncultured bacterium. Its description in RNAcentral is "partial 16S ribosomal RNA". It matches the Rfam family "Bacterial small subunit ribosomal RNA", at positions 57 to 305 of the family's 1533-position model. The record is from RNAcentral.